Molecule: ribosomal RNA, 404 nt
Filed under: uncultured bacterium
Lineage: Bacteria
Description: bacterial SSU rRNA
Rfam family: Bacterial small subunit ribosomal RNA
Source: RNAcentral
UGGGGGAUAUUGCGCAAUGGGGGAAACCCUGACGCAGCAACGCCGCGUGAAGGAAGACGGUUUUCGGAUUGUAAACUUCUUUUAUGAGGGACGAAGAUGACGGUACCUCAUGAAUAAGCUCCGGCUAACUACGUGCCAGCAGCCGCGGUAAUACGUAGGGAGCGAGCGUUGUCCGGAUUUACUGGGUGUAAAGGGUGCGUAGGCGGCUAGGCAAGUCAGAUGUGAAAUGUAUGGGCUUAACCCAUGCACUGCAUUUGAAACUGUUUGGCUUGAGUGAAGUAGAGGCAGGCGGAAUUCCCUGUGUAGCGGUGAAAUGCGUAGAGAUAGGGAGGAACACCAGUGGCGAAGGCGGCCUGCUGGGCUUUAACUGACGCUGAGGCACGAAAGCGUGGGUAGCAAACAGG